GCGCCCGUAGCUCAGCUGGUAGAGCACUCGGCUUUUAACCGAUUGGUCGUGCGUUCGAGUCGCACCGGGCGCA
Molecule: transfer RNA, 73 nt
Filed under: Candidatus Melainabacteria bacterium
Lineage: Bacteria; Bacillati; Candidatus Melainabacteria
Also listed under: 1 other name
Rfam family: tRNA
About the family: Transfer RNA (tRNA) molecules are approximately 80 nucleotides in length. Their secondary structure includes four short double-helical elements and three loops (D, anti-codon, and T loops). Further hydrogen bonds mediate the characteristic L-shaped molecular structure. tRNAs have two regions of fundamental functional importance: the anti-codon, which is responsible for specific mRNA codon recognition, and the 3' end, to which the tRNAs corresponding amino acid is attached (by aminoacyl-tRNA synthetases). tRNAs cope with the degeneracy of the genetic code in two manners: having more than one tRNA (with a specific anti-codon) for a particular amino acid; and 'wobble' base-pairing, i.e. permitting non-standard base-pairing at the 3rd anti-codon position.
Source: Rfam by way of RNAcentral